RNAcentral lists this ribosomal RNA (253 nucleotides) under uncultured bacterium. RNAcentral's name for it is "partial 16S ribosomal RNA". It matches the Rfam family "Bacterial small subunit ribosomal RNA", at positions 524 to 776 of the family's 1533-position model. The record is from RNAcentral.
UACAGAGGGUGCAAGCGUUGUUCGGAAUUACUGGGCGUAAAGCGCGUGUAGGCGGUCUGGUAAGUCAGAUGUGAAAUCCCUCAGCUUAACUGAGGAACUGCAUCUGAUACUGUCAGACUUGAGUAUCGGAGGGGAUGGCGGAAUUCCUGGUGUAGAGGUGAAAUUCGUAGAUAUCAGGAGGAACAUCUGUGGCGAAGGCGGCCAUCUGGAAGAUUACUGACGCUGAGACGCGAAAGCGUGGGGAGCAAACAGG